AAACUUUCAACAACGGAUCUCUUGGUUCUGGCAUCGAUGAAGAACGCAGCGAAAUGCGAUAAGUAAUGUGAAUUGCAGAUUUCAGUGAAUCAUCGAAUCUUUGAACGCACAUUGCGCCCUCUGGUAUUCCGGAGGGCAUGCCUGUUCGAGCGUCAUUU
Molecule: ribosomal RNA, 158 nt
Filed under: Phyllosticta philoprina
Lineage: Eukaryota; Fungi; Ascomycota; Dothideomycetes; Botryosphaeriales; Phyllostictaceae
Description: 5.8S ribosomal RNA
Rfam family: 5.8S ribosomal RNA
About the family: 5.8S ribosomal RNA (5.8S rRNA) is a component of the large subunit of the eukaryotic ribosome. It is transcribed by RNA polymerase I as part of the 45S precursor that also contains 18S and 28S rRNA.
Source: RNAcentral